This is a small nuclear RNA of Suncus etruscus (white-toothed pygmy shrew), 161 nucleotides long. RefSeq annotates it as U1 spliceosomal RNA. Lineage: Eukaryota; Metazoa; Chordata; Mammalia; Eulipotyphla; Soricidae. The transcript has a single exon. The record is from RefSeq and is a predicted model, not a curated record.
AAAAUUAGUUGGUAGGGGCGAUGCCAUGAUCAGGAAGGUGGUUUCCCCAGGAUGAGGCUCGCCCAUUGCACUCUGGGCUUGGGUGUGCUGACCCCUGCAAAUGUGGGAAACUCAACUGCAUAAUUUAUGGUAGUGGGGGACUGCAUGUGCACCAUCCCCUG